GAUGAACGCUGGCGGCGUGCCUAAUACAUGCAAGUCGAGCGAACGGACGAGAAGCUUACUUCUCUGAUGUUAGCGGCGGACGGGUGAGUAACACGUGGAUAACCUACCUAUAAGACUGGGAUAACUUCGGGAAACCGUAGCUAAUACCGGAUAAUAUUUUGAACCGCAUGGUUCAAAAGUGAAAGACGGUCUUGCUGUCACUUAUAGAUGGAUCCGCGCUGCAUUAGCUAGUUGGUAAGGUAACGGCUUACCAAGGCAACGAUGCAUAGCCGACCUGAGAGGGUGAUAGGCCACACUGGAACUGAGACACGGUCCAGACUCCUACGGGAGGCAACAGUAGGGAAUCUUCCGCAAUGGGCGAAAGCCUGACGGAGCAACGCCGCGUGAGUGAUGAAGGUCUUCGGAUCGUAAAACUCUGUUAUUAGGGAAGAACAUAUGUGUAAGUAACUGUGCACAUCUUGACGGUGGCUAAUCAGAAGGCCACGGCUAAGUACGUG
This 497-nucleotide ribosomal RNA is filed under the name uncultured bacterium. RNAcentral describes it as "partial 16S ribosomal RNA". It matches the Rfam family "Bacterial small subunit ribosomal RNA", at positions 28 to 507 of the family's 1533-position model. The record is from RNAcentral.